This 232-nucleotide long non-coding RNA is filed under the name Elaeis guineensis (African oil palm). RNAcentral describes it as "long non-coding RNA (EGUI_LNC035311)". Lineage: Eukaryota; Viridiplantae; Streptophyta; Magnoliopsida; Arecales; Arecaceae. The record is from RNAcentral.
GAUGGAGGCACUAUGGAAGAGAAGCAAGCAAGAAACCUUAAACUAGAUGAUAGGGCCGGAAGUAACAAAUAAAACUGGAGAAAAGGGAUUGAGAGAUGAUGAGGAGAGAUGAUGGAGGAUAUAAAGUUGAAGAGAAAAAUGAUUGAGAGGAUCUGCAAAUCCAUCAUAAAAAAGAAUUGUUUGGGUGUUAAUCUAUUAGAAAUUAGAGGAUCUACAAAUCUACUAAGGUGUU